Molecule: unclassified non-coding RNA, 289 nt
Filed under: uncultured fungus
Lineage: Eukaryota; Fungi
Description: partial contains 5.8S rRNA, ITS2 and 28S rRNA
Rfam family: Eukaryotic large subunit ribosomal RNA
Source: RNAcentral
AAGGAGUCUAGCACAUAUGCGAGUAUUUGGGUGUCAAACUCGAGUGCGCAAUGAAAGUGAACGUAGGAGCCACGCGCAAGCUGCAGCUUCGACCGAUCUGGAUCUUUAGUGAUGGAUUUGAGUAAGAGCAUAUAUGCUGGGACCCGAAAGAUGGUGAACUAUGCCUGAAUAGGGCGAAGCCAGGGGAAACUCUGGUGGAGGCUCGUAGCGAUUCUGACGUGCAAAUCGAUCGUCGAAUUUGGGUAUAGGGGCGGAAGACUAAUCGAACCAUCUAGUAGCUGGUUCCUGC